Molecule: ribosomal RNA, 233 nt
Filed under: uncultured bacterium
Lineage: Bacteria
Description: partial 16S ribosomal RNA
Rfam family: Archaeal small subunit ribosomal RNA
Source: RNAcentral
UCCCAGCUGUAAACGAUGCAGACUCGGUGAUGCCCUGGCUUGUGGCCAGUGCAGUGCCGCAGGGAAGCCGUUAAGUUUGCCGCCUGGGAAGUACGUACGCAAGUAUGAAACUUAAAGGAAUUGGCGGGGGAGCACCACAAGGAGUGAAGCCUGCGGUUCAAUUGGAGUCAACGCCAGAAAUCUUACCCGAGGAGACAGCAGAAUGAAGGUCAAGCUGGAGACUUUACCAGACA